GGAGGUGUUUCCCUCUUGGUCUCCCCUCUUCUAUCCGAGCUUGGCAGAGAGAGAUGUAUGUGCUCGUGACAUCUAUCUACGGCAUGUCGCCAUGUCGGGGUAGAUGAUCAGAUCAUUGGCCGGUGAUACAUAGCCCCCCUGGAUAGAUCAGAUGCGCUCGAUGUCCGGGGAGCGGUGGCAGCGCGGAGACGUCGGCACCAGCCGGGGAGAUGCCGUCGGUCUCCGAGCUAGGGUAGAAGAAGAAAUAGGUCAUGUUGCUAGCAGCUUCUGUCCAUUUAUUUACUUUUGUCGUUGU
Triticum dicoccoides is the source of this 295-nucleotide long non-coding RNA. RefSeq lists it as uncharacterized. The transcript has 2 exons. NCBI's taxonomy places the organism in Eukaryota, Viridiplantae, Streptophyta, Magnoliopsida, Poales, Poaceae. The record is from RefSeq and is a predicted model, not a curated record.